This 546-nucleotide small RNA is filed under the name Pan troglodytes (chimpanzee). RNAcentral describes it as "retained intron". Lineage: Eukaryota; Metazoa; Chordata; Mammalia; Primates; Hominidae. The record is from RNAcentral.
ACAUAAUAGCUAAACUUCAUACCAAUAGCUUAAUUUUUUUUCACCUCUGACAGGCAACCAAAACUUAUGGGAGAAACAAAAUUAUGACCAAACUCUUGGACCAAAUGAAUUUUUACAUUCUUCCUGUGUUCAAUGUUGAUGGAUAUAUUUGGUCAUGGACAAAGAACCGCAUGUGGAGAAAAAAUCGUUCCAAGAACCAAAACUCCAAAUGCAUCGGCACUGACCUCAACAGGAAUUUUAAUGCUUCAUGGAACUCCAUUCCUAACACCAAUGACCCAUGUGCAGAUAACUAUCGGGGUUCUGCACCAGAGUCCGAGAAAGAGACGAAAGCUGUCACUAAUUUCAUUAGAAGCCACCUGAAUGAAAUCAAGGUUUACAUCACCUUCCAUUCCUACUCCCAGAUGCUAUUGUUUCCCUAUGGAUAUACAUCAAAACUGCCACCUAACCAUGAGGACUUGGCCAAAGUUGCAAAGAUUGGCACUGAUGUUCUAUCAACUCGAUAUGAAACCCGCUACAUCUAUGGCCCAAUAGAAUCAACAAUUUACC